RNAcentral lists this long non-coding RNA (815 nucleotides) under Solanum tuberosum (potato). RNAcentral's name for it is "long non-coding RNA (STUB_LNC001935)". The record is from RNAcentral. Lineage: Eukaryota; Viridiplantae; Streptophyta; Magnoliopsida; Solanales; Solanaceae.
AACAAAUUGCUCAAUUCUACUAAGUAAAAUCUCACAGGCUGCAUAUCUCAAAUCAUCAGGGGCUUUCGUGAUUUCAGACCCCAACCAUGCAGUUGCAGCAAGAUAAUCUCGGGAGGUACUUCUUGAUUCGCUCUUAAGUCCUUUCUCUAAAGCAUGGAAUAGAGGACUUCCAAACUUUAAGAAGCGCCUCGCUACUUUGCUACCCCAUGUCUCUAUGCCAAUGUCCUGUUAGUUCAUGGAGUCUUUAGAACAAGUAAACAACUCAUGGGUGCAGUAAUUCCACAAGUGGGGUCUGGGGAGGAUAGAGUGUACGCAGAUCUUACCUUACCCCUACCAAGGGAGGUAGAGAGGUUGUUUCUGGCAGACCCUUGGCUCAAGGAUUUGUAAAAAAAAAUACAUGGUAGCCAAGUUCAGUGCGGACCUUAGUGCCUCUAAGCAAAUAUCAACAGUAUAAACUUCUUCAUGAAGAAGAAUAAAUAAAGAUUAAAAUUAUUAUUUUCGCAUGGUAAUGAAUGGUAGCUCUGGGUGCAUAAAUGCAUAACCAGACAAAACAAUUGAAAUGGAGAGAAUACUGGGUAAUAUUAGAGGGCACCAGGCUAAAUUGGAUCUUGAAAGAAAAAACCACCUGUAGACAUUUAUCCGAAAAGUCAACGUUCUUUAUCAUGUUCUUGUGUGGCAAUGAAGUCAAACCGGCCUUUUUAAGCAACCAUGGUAUUGUGUAGGGUUCUCCUGACCAAGAGAAGGUUCCACCAAGGUUGGAUAGGAUGAACGCUGAUAGAGCCUGUGUUGCAGAAUUCUCUUCACACGACACUGAC